UGAAUAGAAGCUCUAAGCAGCAAUUAGUUGUUAACUAAAAAGGGAUAAGAAUUUUAUCUAUUCA
RNAcentral lists this transfer RNA (64 nucleotides) under Enoplochiton echinatus. RNAcentral's name for it is "tRNA-Asn". The record is from RNAcentral. Lineage: Eukaryota; Metazoa; Mollusca; Polyplacophora; Chitonida; Chitonidae.